This 2053-nucleotide long non-coding RNA is filed under the name Salvator merianae (Argentine black and white tegu). RNAcentral's name for it is "lncRNA (ENSSMRG00000011840.1)". The record is from RNAcentral. Lineage: Eukaryota; Metazoa; Chordata; Lepidosauria; Squamata; Teiidae.
AGCGAGGCUGACAGGCGUAGUGAUCGAAAAAGGCUCGUUGCCAUGCAGUUGUCUGUGACGUUGCGCUUCUUCCAAUCAUUAGCACGGGUUGUUAAAGAGAAACCGCCCCCCUGGAAAACCGGCCAAUCCACCUUUGACUUUUCUUCGUGUGUUUGUGGAAGGUGAGGCUUCGGAUUUACAAAUGAGGUUGUUGAGUUUCGGUUGCCGUGGAAACGAAUGCGGCUACGUAGGUCUCCCCCUUCAGCUCUACAAAGGUGAAACUGUGGUGCCUUUCCCUAAUUCCAGGUAAUUCGAAUUGGUUUCCCACCAAUUCUCCUUCUUAUCUACACUUUUAAUCAGAUGAGAUCGAGUGACGAAAAAAAGCUCCAUAGCAGCAUCACUUCCUAUAGAAUGGAGAAUAAACCUUCAGGCAUAGAAUCAGACUACAUCAAGAAUCUCCAGCAGCAGAUUUACUUUCUUGAACUGGAAGCCAGUUUUCUAUAUCCAAUGCAGUGUGUAGUUAGAUUCUCCUAACAGAUAGCAGGAGAAAAACAAAUGCAUGAAAAAUAAUAUUGCACUAAAAUAUUGCAGAAAUUAUGCAGAUGAACUUUUUAUUUCAAGUUUAUUAACCCCUCCUAACAGCAUUAAUUUCAAAUCACCUUUUGACCUUAACUGUCUAUUAUUACUCGUGAACAAGCUAAAAAGGCCAUUGAUCUUCAGCCUCGCCUUGCAUUGGAAACAGACAACAUGCUACAAAAAAUGCAGGAAUUCCAGUCUCAGUUGGAUGGUCUUCAACUCGAGCUAAAGCGAAAGGAAAGUGGUUUAAAUGUAUUGAAGAAGGAGAAAGAACAACUUAACAACCAGAUCAACGUGACUGAUGAGUGCCAUUCAAAAGAGAAGCAGGUUUUAGUAGAUGAAAUUAUAGCACUGAAGAGAAAGAAGGAGCAAACAGACAAGCAAAUAUCUGCAAAAGAAACAGAACUAUCGCAUGCUAAGCAGGAACUGGAACAGCAACAAAUGACCCUGAGUAACAGGGAACAGACUAUCCUUGUAUUACGAACAAAGGUGAAACAACUAUCAGAACAGCACAAGGCAGUGGAGUUGCAGCUGUCUGAAAAGAGGCAGGAAUUCUUGAAAGUUCAGUCUGCUAUGCAUGAAAUGGAAGACAAGAUCUUUAAGGCAACAGCAGCGAUGCAAAAGCAAAUAACCCAUGAACUACGGAAUGAGAUAUCAUUUCUUCAUCAACAAAUCCGUGAAAAAGAGCACCUAGCAGAACAGGAUUGUCUCUUAAGAAGUAAAAUGGUGGAUGAUUAUACAGCCUUGACGAAAGAGAAUGCCAUGCUGCAGACCAGGCUGUUGGAACUUACUCAACAAAUAGACAUUGAGAGAGCACUCAAAGAAGAGAGUUGCACAUCCCACUCCAACAGUCUUGCUAAAUUUCUGGAAAUGAAAGACCAUGAAGAACAUCUGCAACAAGAGAUCAAGAGGCACCAUGGUCUCCUGGAGCAGGAAAAGAUGGCCCUCCGGGGCCUUAAAGAUCAGCUUAGCAUAUUAGAAAAAGGAAGCACAUCUCUUACCUUAAACAUUGCUACAAUGGGCAGUCAAGUUGCUGAAAUAAAAGCUAUUCUGGAGAAAGAGGAACAGAACAAUCUUGAAUUGAAGAGAGACAAAGCUCUGCUAGUUGAUCUUGUAUCUAAUCUACAAAAUCAGCUUGCAGGAAAAGAAAGAAAUCUGCUACAGGCUUCUGAUAAGAUGCUGCAGCUGGAUGAAGCCAUUUCAGCACUGAAAAAAAGACAUGUAUUACAUCAGUCUCUUGAAUCAGAAAAAUGGGAUGAAAUCUCCAAAAUGGCAAAUUCCAUGAAGGAGCUCAAUAAGUCUGUGACAGAUAUUGUAAUCAGUAUGGGAACAAACUAGUCUGUUAAGUGAAAUUUUCUUUUUCUCUUUGAAAAUAUUUGAAUACUAAGAAGGUUUGAAAUACAUUUUUAUGACUAGAAACUGAAGAAUUAUUUCCAUUUUAGUCAUUUUUGCAACAUGGAUUUACUGUAAAAGAUUAAAAUACUGAUGAAAAUUAUUU